UACGUAGGUGGCAAGCGUUGUCCGGAUUUAUUGGGUUUAAAGGGUGCGUAGGCGGUUCCAUAAGUCAGUGGUGAAAUACGGCAGCUCAACUGUCGAGGUGCCAUUGAUACUGCGGAACUUGAGUACUGAUGAGGUAGGCGGAAUUGACGGUGUAGCGGUGAAAUGCGUAGAGAUCGGAAAGAACACCAACGGCGAAAGCACUCCGCUGGGCCGACACUGACACUGAGAGACGAAAGCUAGGGGAGCGAAUGGG
This 253-nucleotide ribosomal RNA is filed under the name uncultured bacterium. RNAcentral's name for it is "partial 16S ribosomal RNA". It matches the Rfam family "Bacterial small subunit ribosomal RNA", at positions 524 to 776 of the family's 1533-position model. The record is from RNAcentral.